GACAGAGGGUGCAAACGUUGUUCGGAAUUACUGGGCGUAAAGCGAGUGUAGGCGGUUUCCUAAGUCAGGUGUGAAAGCCCCGGGCUCAACCCGGGAAGUGCACUUGAAACUGGGAGGCUAGAGUACUGGAGAGGUUGGUGGAAUUCCGCGUGUAGCAGUGAAAUGCGUAGAUAUGCGGAGGAACACCGAUGGCGAAGGCAGCCCCCCUGGGCUAACACUGACGCCUCAGGCACGAAAGCGUGGGGAGCAAACAGG
This 255-nucleotide ribosomal RNA is filed under the name uncultured bacterium. RNAcentral's name for it is "partial 16S ribosomal RNA". It matches the Rfam family "Bacterial small subunit ribosomal RNA", at positions 524 to 776 of the family's 1533-position model. The record is from RNAcentral.